Molecule: ribosomal RNA, 934 nt
Filed under: Nocardiopsis sp.
Lineage: Bacteria; Bacillati; Actinomycetota; Actinomycetes; Streptosporangiales; Nocardiopsidaceae
Description: bacterial SSU rRNA
Rfam family: Bacterial small subunit ribosomal RNA
Source: RNAcentral
UGCGUGCCGCUGCUUACCAUGCAGUCGAGCGGUAAGGCCCUUCGGGGUACACGAGCGGCGAACGGGUGAGUAACACGUGAGCAACCUGCCCCUGACUCCGGGAUAAGCGGUGGAAACGCCGUCUAAUACCGGAUACGACCCGCCAUCUCAUGGUGGUGGGUGGAAAGUUUUCUCGGUUGGGGAUGGGCUCGCGGCCUAUCAGCUUGUUGGUGGGGUAACGGCCUACCAAGGCGAUUACGGGUAGCCGGCCUGAGAGGGCGACCGGCCACACUGGGACUGAGACACGGCCCAGACUCCUGCGGGAGGCAGCAGUGGGGAAUAUUGCGCAAUGGGCGAAAGCCUGACGCAGCGACGCCGCGUGGGGGAUGACGGCCUUCGGGUUGUAAACCUCUUUUACCACCAACGCAGGCUCCCAGUUCUCUGGGGGUUGACGGUAGGUGGGGAAUAAGGACCGGCUAACUACGUGCCAGCAGCCGCGGUAAUACGUAGGGUCCGAGCGUUGUCCGGAAUUAUUGGGCGUAAAGAGCUCGUAGGCGGCGUGUCGCGUCUGCUGUGAAAGACCGGGGCUUAACCCCGGUUCUGCAGUGGAUACGGGCAUGCUAGAGGUAGGUAGGGGAGACUGGAAUUCCUGGUGUAGCGGUGAAAUGCGCAGAUAUCAGGAGGAACACCGGUGGCGAAGGCGGGUCUCUGGGCCUUACCUGACGCUGAGGAGCGAAAGCAUGGGGAGCGAACAGGAUUAGAUACCCUGGUAGUCCAUGCCGUAAACGUUGGGCGCUAGGUGUGGGGACUUUCCACGGUUUCCGCGCCGUAGCUAACGCAUUAAGCGCCCCGCCUGGGGAGUACGGCCGCAAGGCUAAAACUCAAAGGAAUUUGACGGGGGCCCGCACAAGCGGCGGAGCAUGUUGCUUUAUUUCGACGCAACGCGAAGACCCUU